Molecule: ribosomal RNA, 320 nt
Filed under: uncultured eukaryote
Lineage: Eukaryota
Description: partial 18S ribosomal RNA
Rfam family: Eukaryotic small subunit ribosomal RNA
Source: RNAcentral
CCCCUAGAUGUUCUGGGCCGCACGCGCGCUACACUGAACAGUUCAACAAGUCUUAACCUUGGCCGAUAGGUCUGGGUAAUCUUUGAACGCUGUUCGUGAUUGGGAUAGACCUUUGCAAUUAUGGGACUUCAACGAGGAAUUCCUAGUAAACGCAAGUCAUCAGCUUGCAUUGAUUACGUCCCUGCCCUUUGUACACACCGCCCGUCGCACCUACCGAUUGAAUGGUCCGGUGAAAUCUCGGGACGGCGGCUUGGUCGCUUGCGUCCGACUGCUGAAACUUGAUUAAACCAUAUCAUUUAGAGGAAGGUGAAGUCGUAACA